GUUUACAGAGAACAGACAAACAAUAUGGCGCACCGAGUACAGACAAACAACACAACACUCCGUGAUGGAGCACGCCCAGAGCUCAACAAAUUGGACUCGGACACCUUCCGUCCGGACACAGACGGAGAGAAGGUUCACAGAUGAGGUGGCAUUCGUCAUGGAUGUGCUUCUGCCAGAGGCGACAGUCCACGCCCUUGCAGCUGUACUCUCGGUUUCCCUUGAAAGAGCCAAGGAAACGUAUAAAUGUGGACCAGAGUAUGA
Molecule: long non-coding RNA, 261 nt
Organism: Trematomus bernacchii (emerald rockcod)
Lineage: Eukaryota; Metazoa; Chordata; Actinopteri; Perciformes; Nototheniidae
Exons: 3
Source: RefSeq, a predicted model, not a curated record